Molecule: ribosomal RNA, 504 nt
Filed under: uncultured Glomus
Lineage: Eukaryota; Fungi; Glomeromycota; Glomeromycetes; Glomerales; Glomeraceae
Description: SSU rRNA
Rfam family: Eukaryotic small subunit ribosomal RNA
Source: RNAcentral
AGCAGCCGCGGUAAUUCCAGCUCCAAUAGCGUAUAUUAAAGUUGUUGCAGUUAAAAAGCUCGUAGUUGAAUUUCGGGGUCAGUAGGUCGGUCGUGCCACUGGUAUGCACUGGUCUCACUGAUUCCUCCUUCUUGAAGAACCGUAAUGUCAUUAACUUGGUGUUGCGGGGAAACAGGACUGUUACCUUGAAAAAAUUAGAGUGUUUAAAGCAGGCCAGCGCCUGAAUACAUUAGCAUGGAAUAAUGAAAUAGGACGUUCGAUCCUAUUUUGUUGGUUUCUAGGAUUGACGUAAUGAUUAAUAGGGAUAGUUGGGGGCAUUAGUAUUCAAUUGUCAGAGGUGAAAUUCUUGGAUUUAUUGAAGACUAACUACUGCGAAAGCAUUUGCCAAGGAUGUUUUCAUUAAUCAAGAACGAAAGUUAGGGGAUCGAAGACGAUCAGAUACCGUCGUAGUCUUAACCAUAAACUAUGCCAACUAGGGAUCGGAUGAUGUUAAUUUUAUAAUGA